AACGCACAUUGCGCCUCCUGGUAUUCCGGGAGGCAUGCCUGUUCGAGCGUCAUUAAAAACCGCUCAAGCUCUUUUGCUUGGUAUUGGGAGAUGAGUAUACUUUUCCUAGUUUACUCACUUUCGAAAUUCAAAGGCGUAGAGCCCCACAUACCACAGCGUAGUAAGUUUUCUUUCGCUUGGAGUGUGAGGUGAUAUUGCCACAAACCCCCAAUUAUUUUUCUAGGUUGACCUCGGAUCAGGUAGGGAUACCCGCUGAACUUAA
Molecule: unclassified non-coding RNA, 262 nt
Filed under: uncultured Pyronemataceae
Lineage: Eukaryota; Fungi; Ascomycota; Pezizomycetes; Pezizales; Pyronemataceae
Description: sequence contains ITS2
Rfam family: 5.8S ribosomal RNA (bases 1-52)
Source: RNAcentral